AUGAAGGCGUUGAAGUGUGUUUGCGUCUACUCCUUGGUGAAGUCGGCAGGGAUCGGCGUGGCGAGGGGCGCUAGCUCGUUGUCGAAGGUUUCCUCCAUCGUCGGGUCAUUGUCGCUCACCUCCGACGAGCUCGCCAACAAGACUGCAAGUAUCCCCCACGCCCGACAGGCCGUCCAACCGGCCACCUACCGGUUCUACUCCGUCGAGAGGCUCCCCCACAUCGCUCUAGAGCUCAUGGUCACGGGGGAGGUGGUGCACGAAGGAGGAUUGCAAGCGGACGUGCGUCCUCCCAAGCCGGCCGCCGCGGAAGAAGCCGCCGCCGUCCGAGCACUCUUCGAAGGCCCCCUCCAGGAGCGCGACCAUCCCGUCCGCCUGGCCGGCCCGCUCCCCGUAUCCUCCCCCACGCUCCCCACCACCGGCGCUGAGACCGAGUCAUCCGGCGACGACGAGGCCGCAUCUGAAUCCGGUGACUCCUCACGCCCCGCGCGCGCCCGCCGCGACCUGUGGUGA
RNAcentral lists this ribosomal RNA (510 nucleotides) under Triticum aestivum (bread wheat). Its description in RNAcentral is "partial small subunit ribosomal RNA". The record is from RNAcentral. Lineage: Eukaryota; Viridiplantae; Streptophyta; Magnoliopsida; Poales; Poaceae.